CUUCCACUUUGUUUUCCUGUUUUUCAGGCCAUCAAGGACACCAAAGAAAAAGCCCAGUGCUCACUGCAGGACCCAGAGCUGGAGUCCGGGGUGCUGAUAGAUGUGGCCAAACACCUGGGCUCUCUGAAGUUCAGAGUCUUGGAGAAGAUGCAGGGGACUGUGCAGUACACUCCUGUGACUCUGGACCCAAACACUGCAGCCCCCUGGCUCUCUGUGUCUGAUGAUCUGACCAGCGUGAGACACGGGGAGCUGGUUGUUAACUCCAGUGACAACCCAGAGAGACCACGAGCCUUCCGGCGUGUCCUGGAUUCUAGAACACUACUCGGGGGGACUGGAGCUUUCAAUACUAACUCACUCUAUUGAAGACACAUUCACUGGGAGCCUGUUUCCAUACUUAGAUACGGGUCUGAAUAAAGAUGGUAGCAAUGCUGGAGAUAUAAAGAUCUGUCCAGCAAAGGUGUGUGUAACAGUGACAUCAUCCCAGUAAAGGUGUGUGUGACAGUGACAUCAUCCCAGUAAAGGUGUGUGUGACAGUGACAUCAUCCCAGUAAAGGUGUGUGUGACAGUGACAUCAU
Paramormyrops kingsleyae is the source of this 575-nucleotide non-coding RNA. NCBI's taxonomy places the organism in Eukaryota, Metazoa, Chordata, Actinopteri, Osteoglossiformes, Mormyridae. The record is from RefSeq and is a predicted model, not a curated record.